AUACGGAGGGAGCAAGCGUUAUUCGGAAUCACUGGGCGUAAAGGACGCGUAGGCGGGUUUGUAAGUCAGGUGUGAAAUCCUAUAGCUCAACUGUAGAACUGCACUUGAAACUACAGACCUAGAGUAUGGAAGGGGCAGAUGGAAUUAGUGGUGUAGGGGUAAAAUCCGUAGAUAUCACUAGGAAUACCGAAAGCGAAGGCGAUCUGCUGGGACAUUACUGACGCUGAGGCGUGAAAGCGUGGGGAGCAAACAGGAUUAGAAACCCGAGUAGUCC
This 274-nucleotide ribosomal RNA is filed under the name uncultured bacterium. RNAcentral describes it as "partial 16S ribosomal RNA". It matches the Rfam family "Bacterial small subunit ribosomal RNA", at positions 523 to 796 of the family's 1533-position model. The record is from RNAcentral.